UUUAUGGAGAGUUUGAUCCUGGCUCAGGAUGAACGCUGGCGGCGUGCAGAAUACAUGCAAGUCGAGCGAACGGACGAGAAGCUUGCUUCUCUGAUGUUAGCGGCGGACGGGUGAGUAACUCGUGGAUAACCUACCUAGAAGACUGGGAUAACUUCGGGAAACCGGAGCUAAUACCGGAUAAUAUUUUGAACCGCAUGGUUCA
RNAcentral lists this ribosomal RNA (202 nucleotides) under Staphylococcus aureus. Its description in RNAcentral is "partial 16S ribosomal RNA". It matches the Rfam family "Bacterial small subunit ribosomal RNA", at positions 1 to 197 of the family's 1533-position model. Lineage: Bacteria; Bacillati; Bacillota; Bacilli; Caryophanales; Staphylococcaceae. The record is from RNAcentral.